AUUUUAACUUCUGAAAAGUAGUGAACGAGGGUGUAAUCUUCAUUGUUUUCUAUGUGGGAACCGAGCUAAUAUUUUUUUUUUCGUGAAUUUUCGUCCUUGAAUAUCACAUUUUUGGCGACAUUUCGGCUUGAAAACGCAUGUGACACGCGUUGAGCAUCAAGAAAUGCACACUGGGAAGCUGCUAAACGAGUUCCAAAAUGCUGAAUCUUGCAGCAAAAACGAAGAUUUUGUACUGCUUAUGUCUCGUCGAAGUCAAGAAACCUCCGAUCUCCAUUCACACCACGUUAUAAAGGACAUGGCAGGCAUUGCAUGCCCGCACUCGUCAUGCUCGUGGGAAGAAAUCUGACACCAUUCGGCGGCAUCACGCGGUCGUCGCCGGCCACCCGUGCCGGGAGUUCGAGCUCGAAACCCCACCACAAACAUCGCUUGUGACAGGCACCGCUUUGGAGUCGAGUUUUGGGUGUAAUAUGCGGCUGUAAAUGGAGAUGUUUUGAUUGUCGUUCCUUCUGAUGACGAUGCAGACCUUGGAAUCUACAUUACGAGACAUGAUGAAGAACUCUGUGAAGAAUAAAACUAUGGCCAGACUUGAACUGAAUUUAAAAAAUCCUUUUAUUUAAUAUACUUUAAAGAUUUUUAAUUAUUUUUCAAUAAUGGAGACUAGACAUGCAUUAAACAGAAAUGUAACCAUUAACAAAUGUACUCAGAAGUAGUCAGAAGAAAUCAAAAGUAAGUUUACCGACUUAGUCUUAGAAUAUAAUUACAUGGCUUCUGCUGACAACCAAGUACAUGUAUCAUCAAGCCAAUGCGAAACUAGAGACUUUAAUUGUUUAUUUAGACAAAAUAUCUCCUGAUUAAAUUGAAAUUGCAGUAUACAUGUAGUGAACAAAAAUUGCAGUAUGGUUAUAAGACAAAAAUGCUUGGGUCUAGUAACAUCGGCUGUUAUAUUGGAUUCGAAAUUAGGAUUGCAGCAAGGAUUUAAUUUUUCAUUCUAGUGAUUUUCGAAUAAAAGUGUUUUUUUUUACAAAUUAUUUUGUUGAAAAAACAAAAAGCAAAACACUAAAACUGGUCGGUGUUUAAAACUGAAAUUGAAACUAGGGCUUUCAAAAAGAAAGGGAUGGAAAGAGAAAAUUCAAUGAAAUAAUUAUAAUAAUUUAAAUGAGGAAUAGGUUUACUGAAUACCAUUGCUACUUUUCAUAAAUAAUGGAUUAUCUUGUAAUUUAACAGUCUACCAGGUGCAACAAUAAAAAAAUUCACGGAACUGCUUAAA
This is a long non-coding RNA of Patiria miniata (bat star), 1267 nucleotides long. RefSeq lists it as uncharacterized. The record is from RefSeq and is a predicted model, not a curated record. Lineage: Eukaryota; Metazoa; Echinodermata; Asteroidea; Valvatida; Asterinidae. The transcript has 2 exons.